Molecule: transfer RNA, 82 nt
Filed under: Candidatus Moranbacteria bacterium CG23_combo_of_CG06-09_8_20_14_all_39_10
Lineage: Bacteria; Candidatus Moraniibacteriota
Description: tRNA-Leu
Rfam family: tRNA
About the family: Transfer RNA (tRNA) molecules are approximately 80 nucleotides in length. Their secondary structure includes four short double-helical elements and three loops (D, anti-codon, and T loops).
Source: RNAcentral
GGGGAUGUGGUGAAAUUGGUAUACACGCCAGUCUUAGGAACUGGUGGAGCAAUCCAUGAGAGUUCGAGUCUCUCCAUCCCCA